Long non-coding RNA from Sander lucioperca (pikeperch), 173 nucleotides. RefSeq lists it as uncharacterized. The transcript has 2 exons. Lineage: Eukaryota; Metazoa; Chordata; Actinopteri; Perciformes; Percidae. The record is from RefSeq and is a predicted model, not a curated record.
UCUCACAUCCCAUCAGUAAAGUCUGUUCAAUGAUUUCAUUUACAGAUUCACUUCAUCCACACAAUCAGUGUGUUUGACUCUCAGAUAUAUAAAAGAGAAUAAUGAAUAAUCUCCUUAUUGAUUAUGAUCAGGAUAAACAGAUAAAUGUGAUUAUAGAUUUCUUUACAAAGAGA